Molecule: non-coding RNA, 240 nt
Filed under: Desulfurivibrio alkaliphilus
Lineage: Bacteria; Pseudomonadati; Thermodesulfobacteriota; Desulfobulbia; Desulfobulbales; Desulfobulbaceae
Also listed under: 1 other name
Source: RNAcentral
AUAUACAGUGGUGCAAGCGGCUUCCAAACUUGCUGAUCCGGCGAUCAGGGGUUAGGAUGAAAAGGGAAUCCGGUGUAAAUCCGGAACUGUCGCGCAGCGGUGAUCGGCAACGAACGUUAUCGUAACCACUGGCUGAUUUUAAAAAGCCGGGAAGGGAUAACCAGUAGGUAAGCGUCGGAAGUAGCCUUACAGGCGCUUAGACCCGAAAGUCCGAAGACCUGCCGUGAAACCCGGGCUACC